RNAcentral lists this ribosomal RNA (775 nucleotides) under uncultured Neocallimastigales. RNAcentral describes it as "partial large subunit ribosomal RNA". It matches the Rfam family "Eukaryotic large subunit ribosomal RNA", at positions 20 to 616 of the family's 3401-position model. The record is from RNAcentral. Lineage: Eukaryota; Fungi; Neocallimastigomycota; Neocallimastigomycetes; Neocallimastigales.
UACUAGAGUAGCACUCGCAUAUCAAUAAGCGGAGGAAAAGAAACUAACAAGGAUUCCCUUAGUAACGGCGAGUGAAGCGGGAAGAGCUCAAAUUUGAAAUCUUAAAGGGUUUCCCUUUACGAAUUGUAGUUUAAAGAAGUGUUUUCUGUUGAGGUUUUGGUAAAAGUUCUUUGGAAUAGGACAUCAUAGAGGGUGAGAAUCCCGUAUUUGACCUUUACUUUCAACUUUGUGAUACACUUUCAAAGAGUCGGAUUGUUUGGGGAAUGCAGUCCAAAAUGGGUGGUAAAUUUCAUCUAAAGCUAAAUAUUGGCGAGAGACCGAUAGCGAACAAGUACCGUGAGGGAAAGAUGAAAAGAACUUUGAAAAGAGAGUUAAACAGUACGUGAAAUUGUCAAAAGGGAAGCGUUUGACACCAGUGUUGUUUUUCUGAAAAUCAAUUAAAGAACUGUUUAUGCUAAGCUGUUUAGACUUUAUCAGCUAAUCUGUUAGUUUUGAGCUUUUCUUUAAUGCACUUUUCAGUUAACAAGUCAACAUCAAUUUCUUUUGCUGUAAAAAAGCUUGAGGAAGGUGGCUUGAGAUUCGUCUUAAGUGUUUAUAGCCUCUUGCCUAUGCAGUCGGAGAGAUUGAGGUCUGCAGCGUAGAUCCUUCGGGGCUAAAUGCAUUUGUGCUAAGUUAUAGCAUUUUAUAGACAACUUGUUGACUAUGAUUUGUCUUGUAGCUUACUCGCUUAUGUUAUUUUACCUACGCUUAGGAUGUUGAGCGCAUGUCUCUCUCU